UGAUAUUAAAGCUAAUGCAUCUUAAAUAUGAGUAUAUUGGUAUGUGUAUAAAUGUGACUGGCAUGCAUUUUAAUUGUUUAUAUAAAAAGGAGACAAGGAGUAUGAAUGUGGCUUUCCAUGGCCUAUUUGAAUCUGAUUUUAUUUAUGUGUGCAUAAAAGUAAUUUGUAAGUAUUUUUCAUUUAUGUAUGUGUUUUUUUGGCAGCGGUGAAUGAAACUUAUGUGGACAGUAUUGAUAAUGGAGGUGACAUUAUAGGGAACUUGCAAGAGGAGAAUGGAAACAAUACAACGAAAAAUGUGUUCCUCAUUAAAUACAGUUAUGCAGCACUUAUUAUAACAAUAGCUGCUGUGAUAGUUGCAGUUCCAGCAGUAGUUGGAUGGUGUCUGUAUUACAGACUAAGGAAGAAGAUGCUAAGAAAUGAUGAAGAAAGAGCAAUGAAGAAUCCACAGCCAGCAAUGGAGAAUCCAAAGCCAAAAAAACGUUUUCUUAACAUAUUCAGGCUUCUGUAUAACAGAGUAAAGAGAAGGAAGACUAUGUAUGAUGAGGAAAGUGUAAUAGAGAAAUCACAGACUAAGCCUACACCCUCUCAAUCCAAAUCUACUACAAG
This is a long non-coding RNA of Xenopus laevis (African clawed frog), 606 nucleotides long. RefSeq lists it as uncharacterized. The record is from RefSeq and is a predicted model, not a curated record. Lineage: Eukaryota; Metazoa; Chordata; Amphibia; Anura; Pipidae. The transcript has 2 exons.